RNAcentral lists this ribosomal RNA (199 nucleotides) under uncultured bacterium. Its description in RNAcentral is "partial 16S ribosomal RNA". It matches the Rfam family "Bacterial small subunit ribosomal RNA", at positions 328 to 539 of the family's 1533-position model. The record is from RNAcentral.
ACGCUCGACACCUACUGGGAGGCAGCAGUGGGGAAUAUUGCACAAUGGGGGAAACCCUGAUGCAGCGACGCCGCGUGAGCGAAGAAGUAUUUCGGUAUGUAAAGCUCUAUCAGCAGGGAAGAAACUGACGGUACCUGACUAAGAAGCACCGGCUAAAUACGUGCCAGCAGCCGCGGUAAUCUGAGCGGGCUGGCAAGGC